GUUGGAGGGGAUCGUCCGGGAUUGGCCGCCAUCAUCGAUACGGCCAUUCGCCAUAUUCUCUUUGUGUAAUCCGCAGUUCGUGAAUUGUUCGUUCGUAUCUUGUGUUGCUCCGUACGCGUUUCCGCGUAGAUUUCGGCGUGACUUCCAACGAGGGUCGGCGCGGUAUCCAAACGGGAGGAUGAGUUACGGUAGGCCACCGCCCCGCAUCGACGGGAUGGUUUCCCUGAAAGUCGACAAUCUUACGUACAGAACAACGCCGGAAGAUCUGAGACGCGUGUUCGAGCGAUGCGGCGAGGUCGGCGACAUUUACAUCCCUCGCGAUCGCUUCACGCGCGAGAGUCGCGGGUUUGCGUUCGUCAGAUUUUAUGAUAAGCGUGACGCAGAAGAUGCAUUGGAUGCCAUGGAUGGAAGAUUGUUAGAUGGCAGGGAACUGCGUGUUCAGAUGGCGCGAUAUGGACGUCCUACGUCCCCGCAUCGUAGUCGUGGAAGUCGUCGUCGUGGCAGAUCACGAAGCAGAAGCAGGGAUCGCAGACGAUCCCGAUCUCGAUCUCGCAGUAGGUCUCGCAGCCGCGAUAGAGACCGCAGGCGCUCCUAUAGUCGUAGCCGCAGUCGCUCUCGCUCGGACAGCAAGAGCUCACGCGGCAAAUCACGCUCUCGCAGCAAGUCUCAGGACAGGCAGAAAGACAGUCGCUCCAAAUCCAGGGACUGAGCUUUUAUCGCAGCGAGACAAGACAAUGAGUUCGCACGCAUCCAACGAGUGCCGAAUAAUCUAUGUUGAGAUUUGAAAAAAAAAAGGCGGUGGAAAGGAGUGGCGUGGCGCGGGUGUAGCCGAUGAUGGGGUAGCUGAGAGUAAGCAGUAAGCCGAGUAGCAGGGGGCUGUAAGCAGUUUGCAGUAGCGAGAGAGAGCGGUGUUGGUGGUGCGAUACGGUGCGGUGCGGUGCGGUGCGGCGCGAUGCGGUUCCGGUCCGGUCCGGUGCGCUCCGGUGGUCUGGUGGUUCGUUGAAAGCGGGUUUGCGAGCGGUCAGGGUGAAAGAGCGAGAAAGAAAGGGGGAGAAAGAGUGAUGUACGGUAUAAUGAGCGAAAGAUAGAAAGAGGGGAUGAUAGAUGCCAAUCCAUCGCAAGUAUUAAGAAUCAUCGCGGGUGGUCCGCUGCUGGCUUCUUCGGACAUCGUCCGGCGCGAUGUCAGGUUCCUAGCAUCGCGCGACCAUAGACCAUCACCAGACCUCGCGAACAGAAGCGGCUGAGAUUCAUAGAGCGUCGUAUUCAUCCUUCGAUCAUCGGUAAAUGGAGUCACGUGAUAAACGGUAAAAAAAUAACGGUAUGGUAGAUCACAGCCUACGUAUUAUGGUGUUCGGAGAGUGGCAGCGCUUGAACUAGUAGAGAGAAAACAAAUUCGGUUUAGCUUGCUAUAGUUCGGAUGAGCAAGAUGCCUAAUUUCUUGCGAGGGAUUUUCAAGUUCCUUCGCGAUACAGUUUGCCAUAUCAAGAGAGUAUUGAUCUUUCAUUGCCAUACAAUUGAUUAAAUUUAAUAACGUAAUCAUAGAUACGAACGAUCGUUGAGCUUGACAUUACAUUGCAAUGUGUGCCUGCAAAUACAGGCAAAUAGGAUUUACAGGUAAAUGGAUAAGUUGCAUAUUUAUGGUUUUUCCAAAUAUUUUUAUUAUAUAUUAUAUUAUUAUAUAUACAUUAUAUAUGAGUAAAAUAUUUCAGCUCUAUUGCGUGUCCAACUUAGGACAAUGCAAUUUUCAAUCGGCAAAAAACAAAAAAUUCUUUUAAGCAAUUGAAAUUUGAUAGAAAGACAGAUUCUUAUGUGUAUCUAGUAUAAAUUCCGUGCUUUAACUUUUUUUUUAUUAUUGAAUCAUUAUAAGUAAAUGCAUCUUAGAAAAUGACAAGUGAUGCAGAUAAAGGAUUAAAUUAAAAAGGUUUAAAAUGCAUGUCAAAAGUGGUUUUGAAACUUUUAACUUGCAUUAAGUUGCUACACAUUGCAUUAUUUCUCAGUCCCGAACACACUGAAUCGGCAAACAUUGCUUGGCCGUGAAAGAUGCCCGCGGCGCCACAUCGUCCAAAGAAAAUAAGAAAAGAUGGAGACAACUUUUUGACAAGGACUUUCUUUUAGUGUUUCAUCUAUGUUUUUCUUUCAGGUGAAUAUUAAUCUACCUACAAAUACGUUACGAAUUAAUGUAAGUAUCAUUGUCGUAUGCAAGAUGUUUUAGAAAUAACAAGAUUUCAUCAUAUAGAUACAACGGUGGAUUGUGGGAAUAUGCAAGGAUAAUCAAUAAAAUUUGAUACCAAAA
Molecule: unclassified non-coding RNA, 2293 nt
Filed under: Ooceraea biroi (clonal raider ant)
Lineage: Eukaryota; Metazoa; Arthropoda; Insecta; Hymenoptera; Formicidae
Description: serine/arginine-rich splicing factor 2, transcript variant X1
Source: RNAcentral